GAUGAACGCUGGCGGCGUGCUUAACACAUGCAAGUCGAACGGUGAAGGCGGAGCUUGCUCUGCUGGAUCAGUGGCGAACGGGUGAGUAACACGUGAGCAAUCUGCCCCUGACUCUGGGAUAAGCGCUGGAAACGGCGUCUAAUACUGGAUACGAGCUGCGAAGGCAUCUUCAGCAGCUGGAAAGAACUUCGGUCAGGGAUGAGCUCGCGGCCUAUCAGCUUGUUGGUGAGGUAACGGCUCACCAAGGCGUCGACGGGUAGCCGGCCUGAGAGGGUGACCGGCCACACUGGGACUGAGACACGGCCCAGACGCCUACGGGAGGCAGCAGUGGGGAAUAUUGCACAAUGGGCGAAAGCCUGAUGCAGCAACGCCGCGUGAGGGACGACGGCCUUCGGGUUGUAAACCUCUUUUAGCAGGGAAGAAGCGAAAGUGACGGUACCUGCAGAAAAAGCGCCGGCUAACUACGU
This 467-nucleotide ribosomal RNA is filed under the name uncultured bacterium. RNAcentral describes it as "partial 16S ribosomal RNA". It matches the Rfam family "Bacterial small subunit ribosomal RNA", at positions 28 to 506 of the family's 1533-position model. The record is from RNAcentral.